UUGGUGUCCAAUUGAGGUGUCAUGACCAC
RNAcentral lists this non-coding RNA (29 nucleotides) under Homo sapiens (human). The record is from RNAcentral. Lineage: Eukaryota; Metazoa; Chordata; Mammalia; Primates; Hominidae.